UACGAAGGGGGCUAGCGUUGUUCGGAAUUACUGGGCGUAAAGCGCGCGCAGACGGCUAUCCAAGUCAGUGGUGAAAGCCCGGAGCUCAACUCCGGAACUGCCAUUGAAACUGUUUAGCUAGAGGACGAGAGAGGUGAGUGGAAUUCCCAGUGUAGAGGUGAAAUUCGUAGAUAUUGGGAAGAACACCGGUGGCGAAGGCGGCUCACUGGCUCGUUUCUGACGCUCAGGCGCGACAGCGUGGGGAUCAAACAGG
This 253-nucleotide ribosomal RNA is filed under the name uncultured bacterium. RNAcentral's name for it is "partial 16S ribosomal RNA". It matches the Rfam family "Bacterial small subunit ribosomal RNA", at positions 524 to 776 of the family's 1533-position model. The record is from RNAcentral.